GCUUGUGUAGCUCAGUUGGUAGAGCAUAGGACUCUUAAUCCUGUAGUCGCGGGUUCGAGCCCCGUCAUGAGCU
RNAcentral lists this transfer RNA (73 nucleotides) under Cafeteria roenbergensis. It matches the Rfam family "tRNA". Rfam says of the family: Transfer RNA (tRNA) molecules are approximately 80 nucleotides in length. Their secondary structure includes four short double-helical elements and three loops (D, anti-codon, and T loops). The record is from Rfam by way of RNAcentral. Lineage: Eukaryota; Bigyra; Bicosoecida; Cafeteriaceae.